CCUACGGGAGGCAGCAGUGAGGAAUAUUGGUCAAUGGGCGCGAGCCUGAACCAGCCAAGUAGCGUGAAGGAUGACUGCCCUACGGGUUGUAAACUUCUUUUAUAAAGGAAUAAAGUGAGGCACGUGUGCCGUCUUGUAUGGACUUUAUGAAUAAGGAUCGGCUAACUCCGUGCCAGCAGCCGCGGUAAAACGGAGGUUCGGAGCGGUUACCGGGUUUAUUGGGUUUAAAGGGAGGGGAAAUGGGGUGUUAAGGCAGUUGUGAAAGUUUGCGGCUCAACCGUAAGAUUGCAAUUGAUACUGGCAGCCUUGAGUGCAGGAGAGGUAAAGGGAAUGCCUGGUGUAGCGGUGAAAUGCUUAGAUAUCAGGAGGAACAUCGGUGGCGUAGGCGCUUUACUGGGCCGUAAUUGACGCUGAGGAACGAAAGCCAGGGUAGCAAAUAGGAUUAGAUACCCUAGUAGUC
This 460-nucleotide ribosomal RNA is filed under the name uncultured bacterium. RNAcentral describes it as "partial 16S ribosomal RNA". It matches the Rfam family "Bacterial small subunit ribosomal RNA", at positions 338 to 795 of the family's 1533-position model. The record is from RNAcentral.